This 378-nucleotide unclassified non-coding RNA is filed under the name plant metagenome. Its description in RNAcentral is "partial contains 5.8S ribosomal RNA, internal transcribed spacer 2, and large subunit ribosomal RNA". The stretch from base 1 to 105 matches the Rfam family "5.8S ribosomal RNA", at positions 50 to 154 of the family's 154-position model. The record is from RNAcentral.
GAAAUGCGAUAAGUAAUGUGAAUUGCAGAAUUCAGUGAAUCAUCGAAUCUUUGAACGCACCUUGCGCUCCUUGGUAUUCCUUGGAGCAUGCCUGUUUGAGUAUCAUGAAAUCUUCAAAGUAAAUCUUUUGUUAACUCAAUUGGUCUCUACUUUGGUAUUGGAGGUCUUUGCAGCUUCACACCUGCUCCUCUUUGUUCAUUAGCUGGAUCUCAGUGUUAUGCUUGGUUCCACUCGGCGUGAUAAGUUAUCUACCGCUGAGGACACUGUAAAAGGUGGCCAAGGUAAAUGCAGAUGAACCGCUUCUAAUAGUCCAUUGACUUGGACAAUACUUUUAUGAUCUGAUCUCAAAUCAGGUAGGACUACCCGCUGAACUUAAGC